CCAAUGAACUCCUACAUUUCCGUGACCUUUUCUUGCUUUUCCAAAUCUCUUUCAGUUUAUCUGAUUUGUUCCUUGCUCUUGGUGUUGGCUGUCCUUCUUUCUCCAACUGGAUCCAGCCCUUCUGAACUUUCAUGUACUGGGCAUUGAAGUUGGCGAUGAGCUCUUGGUUCUCCUCCUCAGCACACCAUUCCAUAAACUUUGGCUGUUCAUCUACCACGGUGUCAACAUCGUCCUCAUCUAGGGGGUCUCCACUCUCUGAAGCUCCAUUUUCCUUUGGCAUUAUGGGGUUUACUUGUGCAGCUUCCUUUUCUGAAGUCACUUUUGAAGCAUCCAAGGAGCCCAGAGAAUGAGCGUGUCUUAGGUUGUAGGUUGAAGAGGUCAAUCUUUUAGGCCUUGGCACCGAUUUUGGUGCCCUAGCAGCAUCACCACUUCCACUACUCGACAACCCAAGAGAGCUGCAUGGGGCAUCACUCUCAUCAUCUUUCUGCUGGGUGUUUUCGUUGUCUACCUCAUUCACAGCCUCCUCCACAUGCUGUGUGGGAAUAUGCCCUGGCUCUUCUUUUGCCUGUUCUGGGUCCCUCUUACAAGCAAUACUUUCUGAGGGGAUAUGAGCAUUCUUCUCAUCCAUUUUAGACUGAACAUAGAUUUCCAAUCUCUCUCCAGGCAGUGGCUGUCCAGCUGUGGUUAUGGGGUCCCUGCUGGGGAAAAUCUCUCCUCGUAACUCCUUGACUUCUUUGUCCAGCAUGUUUUUCAAAGUCUGCCUGGUGAUGAUCCCCCCGCCUUCGCCCUCCUGCUCAGCAUCUUUCUCAGAGGGGCGUUCAUUGACACUUGGCUUUUCUGUGUCCUCCAGAGUUUCCGUGUGGAAACUGUCAGGUAGAAGGCCCUUAGGUGUUGUCCCACCAGGGUGCCCUUCUUUUUUUGAACGUUUUGCACUAGGAUUUUUAGGAACUUUGAUUUCAAGACAAGCUGAGGAAGAAUCUGAACUCUGAUUUCUUAGCACUGAGGACUUUCUUCU
RNAcentral lists this long non-coding RNA (1015 nucleotides) under Homo sapiens (human). RNAcentral's name for it is "HSALNT0166750". Lineage: Eukaryota; Metazoa; Chordata; Mammalia; Primates; Hominidae. The record is from RNAcentral.